AUUUUCCUCCCUUCUUCAACGCCGAUUCUCUUCAGUCUUCACUGUGGGUAGACCCAAAACGGGUGCUCGAUCAGGAUUUGACUGUUUCACAAUAUCUUGUUGCGGACAUUGACAAUAAUAGAUUCGUGAGGUAAAAGUUGUCUUUUCCUCUUGAAAUUAUUGCUAUUUGUCUUAAACUAACUUCAUGAGUUUUUACUCUAUUUGUUGAUACUUGCCAUAGUCAAACUCAAGGAAUCUGUAGAUGAGAUAUAUGCUUGGAUUUUACAUUUGAAUGUAGUGUCAUAUGAUUUUGCCCUUUAGACUUUGGUUGUUUGUGUCUGUAGGAAACUGAGUUUUGACGCAAACAAAUUAGUCAAAACUCAAACCUACAGUUCGCCUAGAAUAUUAAUUUGUGGAUGGGAUCGUUCGUUCGAUCAAUUUGGUAGAAAACACAAAUACCUGUCAGAUUGUGGAUCUCUUGAAAUUAUUAUGUAGGAAAGCUGAGUUGUCUUUUAUUCCCCUUAAUUUUAUAGGCGAAAGAGUAUUUUGUAGGGAGCAAAAUACGUAUUUUCCUUUAUUAUAUCCAUAACCAUGGCUAUUGUUGUCAUCAUAAUUGCCAUUCUGCUAAUGAAAGGGCUGUUUAUCUCUCUUCGUAACAAAAGUAUAGGAUAAUUCAUCGGAUAUACUGAACUUCAGAGGAAGAGAGUAACCACCCUUAGAAAAUCUCAACCUUUUUCCGAGUUCCAUAAAAAGCCCCAUCGCCUAGCCAUGUAAUUGCUUAUGCUUUUUAAGUUUUUUUUUAUCAUGUAAACAUGGUCAAUUAAUGACUAGUUAUCUUCAGUGUUAUUCAGGUUCAAAACAGAAGCAAAAAAUGUUUAACAUUGAAAGCAAGAAGUGUUUAAGAUUGAACCAAGAGGUGUGCUACUAUGAAGGUUGGGCUUGUCUUUUAAGUACAUAUACAAGUAUAAGCAAAGUUGCCAACUAGUUUAAGACUGCAAGUUACAUUCUUCAUUCAAUUCACAUGAUUGAAAAUGAUAAUAAUGAUAAAGUAGCCGAUGAAAGUAAUGAUUCGGAGUGUACGGUUAUAACUACUCCCUCGACAGUUUCAAAACAAUGGAGAAAACGAUCUCGGGCAUGAGAUUUUUUUGAAGAAAAGUUGAUGCUAAAGGAAAUAAUAAAUAUGCAUGUAGAUUUAUGGACAAGAAUAUUUUGAGACAAAAGGUAAAAGUACGACAUAAAUGAAUGGUCAUAUCGAUAACUGUCCAAAGAAUCCUUAUAAAGUUGAAAAAGGUCAAAAAAUCUUACAAUUUCAAACAUUACCGAGGGUAAUAAAGGUGGUCUUAUUCCAUGGAAAUUUGAUCAAAAAGAGUGUAGGAUGGAUUUGUGUCGUAUGGUGAUUGUUGAUGAACUUUCGUUUAGUUUUGUUGAGAAGGAAGGCUUUAGAAACUUUAUGAAAGUGGCACAACCUUGUUUUUAUAUUCCUUCCCGUGCUACUGUUAAACGGGAUUGUUUUGCUCUUUUUAAUGUGGAAAAAAAUAAAUUAAUGAAGUUUCUUAAAGGAACNNNNNNNNNNNNNNNNNNNNNNNNNNNNNNNNNNNNNNNNNNNNNNNNNNNNNNNNNNNNNNNNNNNACAAGUCAAAGAGUAUGUAUUACUACUGAUACAUGGACUUUUAUUCAAAAAAUUAACUAUAUGUGCAUCACAGCCUAUUGGAUUGAUAGUGAAUGGAUUAUGCAUAAAAGAAUUAUUAACUUUUCUCCAAUUAUAAGUCAUAAAGGUAAAGAUACGACAAUGUGUAUUAUUGAUUAUUUGCGUGAGUGGGGAUUGCAAAAGAUUUUCACUAUCACAGUUGAUAAUGCUAGUUCAAAUGAUGUGACCGUGGAGAAGUUGUCUGACAAAUUAAAUGAAUGGGGAACCAAUUCCAUGAAUGGUCAACACCUUCACAUGAGAUGCAUGGCUCAUAUUAUAAAUCUUAUUGUGAAUGAUGGUUUAAAAGAGUCAAGUAUUUAUAUUGCUCGUGUUAGAUGUGCAGUCAGAUACAUUAGACAGUCUCCUACUAGGUUGAGAAUGUUUCAGGAAUGUUGUGAAAGUAAAAAUAUUGUCAAGAAGUCUUUAUGCUUAGAUGUUCCUACAAGGUGGAAUUCCACCGACUUGAUGUUGAGCAUGGCUAUUGAAUAUGAACGUGCAAUGAAAGAAUAUUCUGAUCGUGAUAUCGGCUUGUCAAGUUAUCUUAUGUUUGAUGCUAUUUCAGAUGGAAUGCAUGUAGGUCUGCUUACAAGAACUGAUUGGGAUGAUGUAAAGAAAAUUGCACAAUUUCUUGAAAUAUUUUAUAAUCUCACUUUGAAGGAGUCCGGAUCACUUUAUGUAACAUCAAAUGCCCAUUUUCUUGAAAUUGGUCAAGUUGUUGUUUACUUAAAUCGAUUAAUAACAACUGAAGAUAAACUUUUGAGUGAGAUGGCAUCAAGUAUGUGGAAAAAAUUUGAGAAAUAUCAGGAUGAACCAUCAAAAUGAACAAAAUAAUUUUCAUUGCUUGUGUUUUGGAUCCUCGCUACAAGUUUACUACUGUUAGUUUUGUAGUUAAGAAGAUGUUUGGAGAUGAAGGGACAAUUCUUGAAAAAGAGGUUCAUACUUAUAUGACUUCAGUUUUUAAUGAGUAUGUCUCUAAGUCGAUUUCAAAAAGAUAAUGGUGGUGAAGUUUCUACCUCUUUGCCAAGCUCUUCAACUCCUAGUUUAGGUGAACUAUUAGAUGAAAUAAGGAAACAUAAAGCUGCAAGUAUAGGUGUAGGUUCUAAAACAUAAUUGGAAAAGUAUCUUGCAGAAAUUCCUGAAAAUGAAAGAUCGGACUUUGAUAUCUUGGUUUGGUGGAAGGUGAACUCACCUAGAUUUCCUAUUCUUGCUAAGAUGGCUCGAGAUGUGCUUGCUAUUCCUAUUUGAAGUGUGGUAUCUGAAAGUGCAUUUAGUACUGGAGAGCAUAUUCUUGACCAAUUUAGGAGUUCAUUAACUCCUAAAUUGGUUGAAACUCUAGUGUACCUUUAAGAUUGGCUUCGGAGUGAAUCGCUUCCUGUAAAUGUUGAGGAAGAUUUAGAUUUUUUUGAGACACUCAAGGAAGGUAUAUAUCGUUUAAUUAAUUUUAUUGUAUUUCUUAAGAUAGUUAAAUAAUAUAUUAAUUGCUUGACUUGUUAAUAUAUUUUCUUAUUAGAUUUUACUAAUCUUGGCAAAGAAGCUUCCAUAUUGUAUUUCUUAAGAUAGUUAAAUAAUAUAUUAAUUGCUUGACUUGUUAAUAUAUUUUCUUAUUUGAUUUUACUAAUCUUGGCAAACAAGCUUCCACCGACGAUGUUUGCUAGAGUUUAUUAGUUGCCAUGUAAGUUCUCCAUUUUAAAUAAUAUACUUGUAAAAGAAUGUGAUGUAUUACAAAAUUCUUACUAUUUUUCUUAAUUUCUUCCAGGUUUAAAGGUUAAGACUUUCAAGAUUUGGAGAGAAUGAGGCAUUUUAAGAGUUGACUCAACUACCUAUGGAACUAUGCUUUGGAAAUACUGUUUGUUUUGUCAAACUAGUAUUCUUUUUGUGACCUCUGGAACUAUGUAUGUUUGUUUAGAUGGUUAUUGAAUUAAUAUUUACAUAAUCAUGC
This 3605-nucleotide long non-coding RNA is filed under the name Nicotiana benthamiana. Its description in RNAcentral is "long non-coding RNA (NBEN_LNC036997)". The record is from RNAcentral. Lineage: Eukaryota; Viridiplantae; Streptophyta; Magnoliopsida; Solanales; Solanaceae.